UACGUAUGGACCGAGCGUUGUCCGGAAUCAUUGGGCGUAAAGCGUACGUAGGCGGUCUAGUAAGUUAGAAGUGAAAGGCGUUAGCUCAACUCAUGUAAGCAUUUAAAACUGCUAGGCUUGAGAGAGUGAGGGGAAAGUGGAAUUCCUAGUGUAGGGGUGAAAUGCGCAGAUAUUAGGAGGAAUAUCAGUGGCGAAGGCGACUUUCUGGCAAUCAUCAGACGCUGAGGUACGAAAGCGUGGGUAGCAAACAGG
Molecule: ribosomal RNA, 252 nt
Filed under: uncultured bacterium
Lineage: Bacteria
Description: partial 16S ribosomal RNA
Rfam family: Bacterial small subunit ribosomal RNA
Source: RNAcentral